This is an RNA transcript of Musa acuminata AAA Group (dessert banana), 3633 nucleotides long. RefSeq lists it as uncharacterized. The transcript has 8 exons. Lineage: Eukaryota; Viridiplantae; Streptophyta; Magnoliopsida; Zingiberales; Musaceae. The record is from RefSeq and is a predicted model, not a curated record.
CUUCGCACUUCCGCCAACAGUUGGUUCCCGAACUGCCCCAACGAAAGUUGAAGCCUUUUUGCCCCUUCCUCAUCCCUCUCGGUUACCACCGUAACCACGGCCGGUGAGAUCUGCGGACACACCGGAGCGGCGGCCGGAGAUGUCUGAUUCCGAUGUCGGAGCGGCGGCGCUGCGUUUUUGGUGGAAAUAAAAGCUGCAAGCCUAAAGUGUAACUCAGUUUCUUUGUACCUGUGGAGAUGUUCUGCUUGUUAACCCUGGCAUUUAGGUGAGUGGGUUUCAUAAUAGGAAAGCACAGGAUCUGAAAAAGCCAUUUCCCGGAUGUAUAGGAAGGAUGAUCAACAUAUUUGACUUUAGUGCCGGUGUGGCUGGGAACAAGAUGCUGACAGAAAGAGCUCACAGAGAUGGUUUUCCAGUUAAUAGAAACAAACAUGAUGCUAGAAAAGCCACCACACCAAGUGGAACUAAAGCAGAUGACAAACAAAUAGCCAAUGACCUGAAGCAGAAUUUAUCAAGCAAGAAAGCUAGUGGAACACCAAUGAAGAUGCUAAUAGCUCAGGAGAUGUCAAAAGAAACAGAGUCUAUACGGAAACCACCUAGUGUCGUUGCUCGACUUAUGGGCCUUGAUGAUGAUCUUACAGGUCAUCCAUUUCCAAUGUCUAGUCAAAGAAAGUUGCUAGAGGGAUACCCUCAAAGAGCCACAGCAGGUGUUAAUAGAGAUCACCGUCAACGGCAAGAUGUUUUCAACAAGGCGGUUCCAUAUCAGCACCAUAGACAUGACUAUGAGAAGAUGGAACACAGAGAUGUACGCAAAGUGUGGCAGCAACCAUCUUGGAGCAGGAAUGGAAGAUGUGGUGAGAAUCAGACCGAGCUAAGAAUGGCCCUUGUCCGUCAAAAAUUCAUGGAAGCAAAGCGUCUGGCCGCUCAUGAAAAUCUUCUUCACACCAAGGAAUUUCAGGAUGCCCUUGAGAUUCUGAGUUCAAAUAGAGAUUUAUUUCUCAAAUUUCUUGAGGAGCCAAAUUCCCUACUCUCAAAGCAAACAAGCGAUCUUCACUCUAUUCCUCCACCACCUCAGACAAAGCGCAUUACCGUAUUGAAGCCAUCAAAAAAGGUUGAAACAAAGUUUGAAAAGGUAGUGAAGAAACACGAAAAUUCAGAGAUUGAUGAGAGUGGAUUGGAAACAAACAAUCACCAUUGGGAGCCUAAUUUCAAUCAUUUAAAUUCCGAAAGCUUCUUUCGGCCAACCAGGAUAGUGGUCCUGAAGCCUAGCACAGGAAAUCCUACCAAACUACCAACUUCAACCAUGUCACCUGAGUAUCUAGCACGGACUGAAGUUUAUGGUCACCUAGGAGUUAGUGAAGCCUUUGAAUCAAGGUCCUUGGACAAGGAAAGAGCUGAGCAGAUGCAAAAAAGUCUAACUGGCCAUAGGAGGGAUGAAUCGUUGCUAUCUUCCAUGUACUCUAAUGGGUAUGGUGGAGAUGCGAGUUCAUUCAAUCAAUCAGAAACUGAUUACAAUGUAGAAGAUGGUGGCUUUAGUGAUUCUGGGAUAGUGACUCCAACAUCACGCCAUUCCUGGGAUAAAUUUGGCAGUCUUGGCAGUCCUUACUCAGCCUCGUCUUUUAGCCGGGUCUCAUAUUCACCUGAGUCAUCAGUGAUUAGAGAGGCAAAGAAACGGCUUUCUGAACGAUGGGCUUUAGUGACAUCAAAUGGGAUAAGUGAAGAACAAUUACAGUUGCCUAGGAGCUCAAGCACUUUAGGUGAAAUGCUUGCCAUUCCUGAGGUAAAGAGAGAAGAAUUUGUUGAUGGGUUUACUGUCUCAAGCAAUAAACCAUCUGAUGGAGAAGAUGAACUGAGGUCACCAGCAUUUUGCUCAUCAGUGGGUAGGACGAAAGAUUCAGGAGACCUUUCCCCUGGGAAUUUAUCAAGGUCAAAGUCUGUCCCAGUGUCAUCCACAGCUUAUGAGGUCAUUAGCCUGAAAUUUAAAGGUUCGGAGUCUCAGAUUAGUAGAUCCACUGUGUCAGAGGUGUCGAAGACCAAACAUGGGAAAUCAUCUUUCAGAGGAAAAGUGUCGAGCUUUUUUUUCUCGAGGAGCAAGAAAACUAAUAGAGAAGGACCUGUUUCUUCAACCCUGGUGGACUCCCGUGAGGUAGUAAGUAGAAGUGAUGAGAUACAAAAAUCAGCUGACAACAGUUUGUCAGUGGACAGUCAAGUAAAGGAUGAGGAACAAUCUGCCGAUGUACCUUCUCCAAUAUCAGCCACAAAUGUCGCCGAAAAGGUCAUGCCAUCACUUGAGGAACCCGGAACAUGUGACAAGUCUAGAGAAAAGGAGAAACUCAGUCCAUGUCAAAAUUUCAUUAACAACCUGGACCAACCCAGCCCUACUUCGAUUUUGGAUGCAACAUUUGAAGAUAAUAUGAAUGAAAAUUUGUGCCAGCUAUCUGAAGCUAAUGCUGGACAACAAUUACUUUCCAGGGCUUCACCUAUAGAGUCAGUCGCACGUUCUUUGUCGUGGGAUGAUGCCCAUUUGGGAACAUUGUCCCCGAGGCCCUCAAAUCUCUAUAAAGCUUCGUCCAAGGCAGAUCACACCGACCAAGACUACUUUGUAUUUGUUCAGAAUUUGCUAUAUUUUGCUGGCUUAGAGAAUUCUGAUAUGAUAUUCACUGGAUGGCACUCUCUUGAUAGCCCAUUGGAUCCGAUGCUACUCGACAAGUUCUUGGGUUGGAAAGAAGAGGAACCAAAAUGCACGGAGAAAAGUUCGACCCUGAGGCUCCUAUUUGACUGUGUCAACUCAGCCCUUGAAGAAGUCAGUCGGACCACUUUAACGAGUCUCUACCUAUGGAAUGGGGCAUCCUGUGGAUCACGGAUAAAUGCUGGUGCAAGUUCUACAUUGUCAGAGGCUGUGUGGAGUCUAAUGAGGGAUUGGUAUUCCGGCAACGGGAUAUCGGUGUUUGCUGAGACCGACAACAAUAGCCUGGGGGUGGAUAGAGCAUUGAGGAGGGAGGUGGAAGGAAACAAGUGGGUUGAAUCGAUCAGGAUAGAAGUAGAGGAGAUCACUGGAGAAAUCAGUGGGGAGGUCCUGAAGGAUUUGGUUGUAGAGGCUUUGGCUGACCUUCCUACUGCAUGUAUCUGCUGACCCCUUUUGUCCCUCAGCUUCUGUUACUUGGAUUUGUUGUUUUUGCUGUGGAAGAGGCUGCUACAAUGUUUAGAUUUCUAUGCUUCCACUAGUGAUGAUUCGGUGGAUUUAAUGUGCAUUGCUGCUGAAGGUCAAGAGGAAAUCCACCUGAUCUGAAACAGCGGCAAGAGGGAAUGGUUUCACAGUAGCCUGGACGAGGCCAUGUGAUCUCUUCUCGGAGAACAAAAAGCAUACAAUGGUAAGUGGCUGUCAAGUAGAGAGUUUGUAUACUUAAUACAUUCUUUUUCUACCAAUCUGACCAACUCCAGUUGAUGUCAGGUUGACUAAAACAAUGAACAGUGAAAUCUCCUGGACAUUCUUGGGAUAAGUUCUGGUUAAGUUUGAUUAUAAUUGUUCUAAAUUAAUGUGCAGGUCCGACUGUAAGAUGCCAAUCUGAACCUGGCAUCUUGUUAAUGUUCACAUGGUAGUGGUAUUGAUCUGUCAUGGAUGCGUGUUUGUGGUUC